This 440-nucleotide ribosomal RNA is filed under the name uncultured bacterium. RNAcentral's name for it is "partial 16S ribosomal RNA". It matches the Rfam family "Bacterial small subunit ribosomal RNA", at positions 338 to 795 of the family's 1533-position model. The record is from RNAcentral.
CCUACGGGUGGCAGCAGUAGGGAAUAUUGCUCAAUGGGGGAAACCCUGAAGCAGCAACGCCGCGUGGAGGAUGAAGGUUUUCGGAUUGUAAAGUCCUUUUGUUAUAGAAGAUAAUGACGGUAUCUAACGAAUAAGCACCGGCUAACUCCGUGCCAGCAGACGCGGUAAUACGGAGGGUGCAAGCGUUACUCGGAAUCACUGGGCGUAAAGAGCGCGUAGGCGGGAUAGCACGUCAGAUGUGAAAUCCUAUGGCUUAACCAUAGGACUGCAUCUGAUACUGUUAUUCUAGAGUAUGGGAGAGGUAGGUGGAAUUCUUGGUGUAGGGGUUAAAUCCGUAGAGAUCAGGAGGAAUACUCAUUGCGAAGGCGACCUUCUAGAUCAUAACUGACGCUGAUGCGCGAAAGCGUGGGGAGCAAACAGGAUUAGAUACCCUGGUAGUC